CGCAAAGCUUCAUUACACUGAGAUUAACGACGAACACACUGAAGAAUAAAAAAUGGGAGCUACUUGUGGCAAAAAAAGAAAUUCAGACAGAAACCAACAAGGAAAAGAGUUUGCUUUGGCAAGGUUUGUUCUGAGACUGAGAUAUAUAUUUAAUAAGAACAGAGUUGUACCCUUCAAUGAACCAGGAUCACGUUCUGUGUCAAGCGUUAUAAGCAACACGGCAAUUAUUCCAAGAAAUAAUAAGAAUAAGAGCAGACAUCUCUCCGCGGAAGAAAGAAAUUGCCAAACGGAACUUAAC
This 298-nucleotide long non-coding RNA is filed under the name Mytilus galloprovincialis (Mediterranean mussel). Lineage: Eukaryota; Metazoa; Mollusca; Bivalvia; Mytilida; Mytilidae. The record is from RNAcentral.